UAUUUAUGAAUAAAAUUUAAUAAAUUUAUAUUAUAUUUUUGUAUUUGAUCUUGAUGCCGUGGUAUUUGAGGCCUUAUUGAGAGCUGACUCUCCCUUCUCUCAGACUGUUCCCUCCCAAGAUUUGCUAAUUCCUAGAAGUAUAAAAAACUGGCCACCAGGAGAGUGUGUUUCAUAUACAAACUAACUGCUAUAGAGCCCAGAAUCCCCCUUCCCACCUCCCUCUGGCUUUUAUACUCUAGGCCCCUGUUUCCCCUGUUAUUAACACCAGGGCCAGGUGGGAGACAACUUGGGACAGCCCCCAGAAGUCUGCAGAAGUUAUACUGGCCAAGUCUGAGGUCGUCUAUGCUGUUUUACUGUUCUUUCCCACACAACCUACAACACAGGCUAUUACCCAUGUCUUCCUCUCACUCCGGACCAACCUUGGUGCUGCUCUGGGUAGCCCUGCAUGGCAUGGCACAACAUGCCCCUUCUUGUACAUUUUAACAACUAUCUUUCUAAAGACAGGUGUCACCUAAUAUGUUGGCCUCACCACACCUAAAUAAUAAUAAAACCUUCAUCUUAGAAUGUAAGAAAUCAGGGGCUGGGGUUGUGGCUCAGUGGCAGAGCGCUUGCCUCACAUGUGUGAAGCACUGGUUUGAUCCUCAGCACCACAUAAAUUGAAUAAAUAAAGGUAUUGUGUCCAUUUAUGAUUGAGAAAAAAUUUUUUUAAAUGUAAGAAAACAUGGAAGGCUUCUUCAGGCAGAGGGCCUGAGACAGGUAGGCACGUGGCAUCUCUCAAGAAUCAUGAGAAGACUAGGUUGGCAGGAGUACAGAGGUCUGGAGGAUGGGAGAGGAGCUGAGGAGGUUGGCAAGGUGUGUUAGCUUUCUGUUUCUGUGAACACACCUGAGAGAAACCAAAAGAGGGAAGAUUUAUUUUGGCUUGCGGUUGCAGAAAUUUGAGCCCAUGGUUGCUUAACCCUGUUGCUUAGAUCGUCUGAUGGAAGAGGUCUGUAUGGCUGCAUGGAAGCAAAGAUAGGAAGGGGCUGGGUCCUAAUACCCACUUCAAAGGGAAACUCCCAUUGACCUCACUCCUUCCAACUACACCUCACCUACUAAAGGAUCCACCACCUGUGGAUAGUGCCACAGGCUGGCAACCAGACUUUAGCAUAUGGACCUUUCGGCCACAUUUCGGAGUCAAGCCAUAGUACAAAGACCUCUACAGACUGUGUGGCCCAUGUUAAGGGUGUUAAUUUAUGUUGAGUCUGAGAACUGAUUUUAGCUCCAAUCCUGAAAGUAGAGCGGCCAGAGUACAUGGUUCAUCUCUGAUGCUGGUGAGGAGAAGGUGGGCACUUUCACUGGGUAAGUAGGAGCUCCAAGGCAGGACACUCUCUAAUCCAAUUAUUUUCUCCCCAGUUUUACUUCUUUGGCACUCUCUUCUGUCAGCCGGAACACAGAGCAGUGAGUGGUGCCCAUUCUCCUGCCCCUGAGACCCAGGUGAAGUUGGAUUUCUGCCCUUUCCUGUACGCCAUCUGGACAUCUGGAGUGGGAAAAGUUUUCUGCUCCUUGUCCUGAAUCAUCUUUGCUUCAUAUAUCUUAUCCAAGGACAGGAGUCAAGGGUAAUGGCUGGAUUUCAAGCCUGAAGGAAUGGUUGCACCAUUAACAGAUCAGAGGAAUCCCGAGGAGAUCUGGCUUUUUCAUGAAAAGAAUCUAGGGUUAUAGAAGUCAGAAAAGAUUUUAAGAGUAAUGGGAAGAGGAUAAUGUAGAGGAAGGUUAUGGUCUGUCAUUUGGAGUUUUUUUUUCCUUUGGUUUUGUACCAGGGAUUCAACCCAGGGGUGCUCAACCCUCCUAUAUACAUCCUUCCCCCCAGCCUUUCCAGUGGAGUGAUGAUCAUGAGGUUUGUUUAAUUCACCAUUGGUAUCUACGUUAUGACCAUGUAAAUAUUGUUCCCAGCAGAGCCACAUUGUAUAAUGUAAUUAAUUUUCCUUUUUUUUAUACGCUGGAGGUAGUUAUUGCUUCUUUUUGCUUGCUUAGUUUUCUACUUUUCUAAAACUCACCAAUAAAUUCAUAAAACCCAUGGUGGAGCAUAUAGGGUAAUAUAUCGGUUCAACUUUUUUUCCUUGGUGAAAUCCUCUUGUAAUACAUAUAUAUAUUUUUUUGGUUUGGAUUGUGGUAAUGUCGACUUCACAGGAGAAGUUAGGAAGCGGUCCCUCUGCCUCUGUCUUCUAAAAGAAAUCAGAGACCUGGUAUAACUUUAUCCUAAAACAUUUGGUAGAAAUUACCAGUAAACACAUCUAGACCUGGUGCUUUCUGCUUUAGAAUUGUUAAUUAUUGGUUCAAACUCUCUAAUUGAUUUAAUUCACUCAAAGAACCAGCUUUUGGCUUUCUUGAUUUUCUGUUAACUUCCUGUCUUUAAUUUCUAACUUUUUAAAAAGUUUCUUGUUUACUUUGGAUUUAAGUUGCUCUUCUUUUUCUGGUUUCCUAAGGAAGAAGCUUAAGUGAUUGAUUUUAGGUCAUCAUCCUUUUCCAGUAUAUGCAUUCACUGCUAUAAACAUAAUCUAAGCACUGCUUUUGCUCUAUUUCACAAAUUCUAAUGUAUUUUUAUUUAGCUUAAAAAUUUUUAAAUUUCCUUUGAGAUUCUUUUUCGGAUCCAUGUAUUAUUUACAAGUUUUUGUUAAAUCUCCAAGUAUUUGGGGACUUUAUUUUAUGUUCCUGUUUAUUAAUUCCUAGUUUAAUUCUUUGUGGUCAUAGACACUGUAUAAUUUCUAUUCUCUUAAAGUAGUUAAAUGUUAUUUUAUGACCCAGAACGUGGUUUAUGUUGGUGAGUGGAGAAGAAUGUAUGUUCUGCUGCUGUUGGAUGAAGCAGUCAGUAGGUGGCUAUUAUGUCCAGUUGAUUGAUGAUGAUGUUGCAUUCAACUUAGUUUUAUUGAUUUUCUGUAUGCUGGAUUUGUCCAUUUUGUCCAUUUUGCAGUCUAUAAUGGAGAAAAGCUGUGAAUGUCUGUAUGUAUGGAAAUUUCUGGGUGCUGGUCAAACUUUGAUGGUCAUGGAUAUGGUGAGAGACUACCAUAUCAUGGAAUAUGCAAAAAGCUGGCUGUUGCCCAUCUUUUGUAUAAAAUGAGAGAGUUCAUCCUGGAGAGAAGCCUGCUGGUGUGUUGAACAUAGAGGGUGCUUCAGUAACCGCUCCACAUAUUCAACAUGAGAGAAUCAUGGUGGAGAAAAGACUGACAAGUGUAGUAAAUGUAGGAAAGGCUUCAGCUGCAGUUCAUAACUUUCUCACCAUCAAAGAAUUCACGGUACAGAGAAGUAUUAGAAUAAUCAACACCGGAGUUGUUGAAUGUAAGUUGCUGGCCAGAACUAAACUAACCUAGGACUCCUGCUACAGGGAGGCCCUGUAAACACUGAGAAUGGAAGAAGGCAUAGAUUGACAGAACAUGUUCCACUCACAUGUUGUCUUUCACACUUGUUCAACCUGCAGAAGGUCAUGGUGGAGACUGCAAGGGAGGACACUCUUAUUUAGGAUUUAGCUUAAAGCUCCACAAACAUGACCUUGAAAUUGCCUAGGUUUUGUUGUUGAUAAAAGCCAAGAAUGUGCACAUUUCCACUGGAGGCCUUGGCGGUGGUGCAGCGCUGGCAAGCUCACAGAUCUGGAGCAAUAAUGGUGAAAGCAAACCUGCAGCCACUUCACUCACAUUAAGUUGCAUCUGCAUCCCUUGCCCAGCACUUGGGACUUCAACCCCCAGCUGUCUCAAGCAAGGAAUCAGUGAGCUGUUCUAAACAAAGGAGCAAGAAACCUUGCCUCUCAGUGCACGGGAAGUGUAGGAGGCGGCCAGGGGCGGCAGAGUGGCUGCGCACAGGAGGGUCACCUUGACUUGUUAUCCCUCCCUGGAACCAGCCACACCAGGAGGCCCUGCAUUUCUCCUUAAACAGCCUACCCAGCCCUUCUGCUGGACUUCCUCAUGGGAACUCCAAGAGUGGGUUCUUUGCCGACUCAUUAAAGAGGCAGGCUAACUCACCAGACACCCAGCCUGUUUUAUACAGCACCCUGACCAGUGCCCAGGUGCUGGUGGCUGUACAGAGAUCUUGCCAAGAUCCAGCUUAAGAGGACCAGCGCUGGAAUCUGCAGAACUGGGGCUAAAUCCUAGUCCCUGAUCUGGCUGGGCACAAAUUACAAGCCACUGAAGCAGGAAC
Ictidomys tridecemlineatus (thirteen-lined ground squirrel) is the source of this 4164-nucleotide non-coding RNA. NCBI's taxonomy places the organism in Eukaryota, Metazoa, Chordata, Mammalia, Rodentia, Sciuridae. The record is from RefSeq and is a predicted model, not a curated record.